RNAcentral lists this ribosomal RNA (655 nucleotides) under uncultured Ralstonia sp. RNAcentral's name for it is "bacterial SSU rRNA". It matches the Rfam family "Bacterial small subunit ribosomal RNA", at positions 56 to 701 of the family's 1533-position model. The record is from RNAcentral. Lineage: Bacteria; Pseudomonadati; Pseudomonadota; Betaproteobacteria; Burkholderiales; Burkholderiaceae.
UGCAGUCGAACGGCAGCAUGAUCUAGCUUGCUAGAUUGAUGGCGAGUGGCGAACGGGUGAGUAAUACAUCGGAACGUGCCCUGUAGUGGGGGAUAACUAGUCGAAAGAUUAGCUAAUACCGCAUACGACCUGAGGGUGAAAGUGGGGGACCGCAAGGCCUCAUGCUAUAGGAGCGGCCGAUGUCUGAUUAGCUAGUUGGUGAGGUAAAGGCUCACCAAGGCGACGAUCAGUAGCUGGUCUGAGAGGACGAUCAGCCACACUGGGACUGAGACACGGCCCAGACUCCUACGGGAGGCAGCAGUGGGGAAUUUUGGACAAUGGGGGCAACCCUGAUCCAGCAAUGCCGCGUGUGUGAAGAAGGCCUUCGGGUUGUAAAGCACUUUUGUCCGGAAAGAAAUCGCACUUACUAAUAUUAGGUGUGGAUGACGGUACCGGAAGAAUAAGGACCGGCUAACUACGUGCCAGCAGCCGCGGUAAUACGUAGGGUCCAAGCGUUAAUCGGAAUUACUGGGCGUAAAGCGUGCGCAGGCGGUUGUGCAAGACCGAUGUGAAAUCCCCGGGCUUAACCUGGGAAUUGCAUUGGUGACUGCACGGCUAGAGUGUGUCAGAGGGGGGUAGAAUUCCACGUGUAGCAGUGAAAUGCGUAGAGAUGUGG